AAGCAACACUCUGUGGUAGAUACAUGGUUGUCUGCUACAAUUUACGCUUGCUACAGUAACCAUAGUCUCACCUAUUCCAGUGGUCUCUGUAGGUGAGGUCAUCUGUUAUAUAGACUCUUACAUC
RNAcentral lists this small nucleolar RNA (124 nucleotides) under Varanus komodoensis (Komodo dragon). RNAcentral describes it as "Small nucleolar RNA SNORA28 (ENSVKKG00000005383.1)". It matches the Rfam family "Small nucleolar RNA SNORA28". From Rfam's summary of the family: ACA28 is a member of the H/ACA class of snoRNA that guide the sites of modification of uridines to pseudouridines. Lineage: Eukaryota; Metazoa; Chordata; Lepidosauria; Squamata; Varanidae. The record is from Rfam by way of RNAcentral.